Molecule: long non-coding RNA, 2274 nt
Organism: Rhododendron vialii
Lineage: Eukaryota; Viridiplantae; Streptophyta; Magnoliopsida; Ericales; Ericaceae
Exons: 4
Source: RefSeq, a predicted model, not a curated record
AAAAAUAUUUUACAUAUAAUGAACGACUUGGAUGAUUUGUAUGGGACCCAUGGUAGGCCCCACAACGAAAUCUAUGCACAAUCUGUGCACAGAUUGCUGUGUGUAGCACAGUACGUUCCAAUUAGCCCGGGUCAAAACUACAGUACGUAGAAAGGACGGCCCGCUAGAAACUGACCGUCGGUGAACUUGCAAACAGCAGGCAAACCCAAAAACCCUUACCAAACUUAAACCCAAAACAGACCCAAAUUCGCCAACAACCACCACGCCGCCGGUCACCAUCCCUGUCACCACAACACCAUAGGGAACCCACAAAGCCGCACAAUUAGAACCGCUGGACACUGAACACAACGGACAACACUGCCGCGAGACUCCCACUGAGCACCGCAACCCGGCUUGCCGUGUUAAUGUGACCCAUGGAAAGCUCCGAUAGCCACCAGAUCUGUAGCACCAUGAUCCACGGCCGCUCCAAACGAAAGCCUGAAGAUCCCCCCUUGCCGUUAAGCCACUUCGGCAUCACUCACGAAUGAUAAGCCGUUGGGAGACCAAGGCCAAGAGAGCAAGAGCCAUGCCGCGAUCCCAACUCGCUGUUAAAGCCAACCGGUCUCUUCCAAGCAAAAGAAACCGGCGAGGAAAAGACGGCCGCCCACACAGUGAAGCUAGAAGGAGAGAAACGGCGGUAGAGUGGGCGGCGAGCUUAGAUCUAAAAAAAUGGAAGAAAGAUGGGGAUAUAUAAGGCCCAAGGGAGGAGGAAGAGGGCAACCCCCCCACAAUCAGAGAGGCCACCAGAAAUCACCCAACCUUUUCAGAUUCUAGAGAGAGACAGAGAGAGAGAGAGAGCUAUUGUUUUCGAGUGGCUUGAUUUGGAUUGUCAGGUGGAGCCAUAGCUGUAAUAUCUAUAGGAGUAGCGAUGGGAGCACUUCUAGUGGCUGUUUGCAUAAAAUGGGGGUUCUAUAGAAAGAACAAGGUGCCGGGGGAAUCGAGUUCACAAAGAGACAUAGAACUACCUCGUCAAACUGGAAGGGCUCGGCAAAGUACUUUAGAGAAAUCAGACUCCCUUGGUGCUCCUGAUACUACUUCACGUCUCUAUGAAAAGCUUGCAAAGGCAACUGAUUGCCAAGCUAAGUUGCGAGGCAAGGUUUGUUGCUAUUAAUCUAGUCAUGGUGAUAAACAGAGAAGAGAGGGAAAAUAAACUGAUAUCACAUUAAAAGCUGUCUUCUAUUCCCGCGUGUCCAGAUGGGGAAUCACAGCUACCCAAUCAGCCGCAAGGAGCAUCCGAUGGUGACAAGAACGCAAAUACCAGAGGUGGUGUAUCAACUGGGGACAUGACUAUGGAAGGCGGUAUAUGCCUUGGGAGCUCGAAAAUUGGUGCUCCUGUAUCGAUUGGCACCAUGACUAUAAAUUUAGUGUACCAGAUGUUGCCAAAAACCCGAGGUGGUGCAUCAAUCGGGAACACAGCUGUCGAGGUGGUAGAUCAAUUGUGAACAUGAAUACUGGAGGUGGUUGAUCGAUUGGGAACAUAAAUAUCGAAGGUGGUUGAUCAGUUGGCAACACGGAUCAAAACUCGACGUGGUGCAUCGAUUGGGAUCAGUAUAUCAGACUCAAGAGACAAGAGGAGGAAACUGAGAAGCAGCCGAGGAAAAGCUAGGGGAAAUGGACAGAUUGAGGAGAAACUGCAUUAAUAAUACAUGAUGUAUGAAGACGAUGGCGUUGCAGUACACAAUUGAUAUAGAAGUGAACAGAAGAUGGAAAAGGAAGCAGAAAGCCAAUUCGAGAUUCUUUGAAAGCAGCUCACUGCUGAAAGGGCCACAGAUUAAAGAGUGAAUUGAGUUGGUUCACACAUUGCAAGGAGAGCCAGCAAAAGUGAACAGCCACUGGAAACACAGCAUCUGAAUAUUGUGAGUAUUGCAUACAAACUCCACUGUGUUUUCUAGACAUUGUCGAUAUUUGAUUCGCCUAAGGUGCAAAUAGAGUUACUUGCGUUGUGUGUGAUGUAUUGAUGAUUCUUAAUCCAGUGAUUGGCUAAAUAAAAACCACUGUAGUAUACAUUUAGCUUAGAGAUCUAGUGUGCGAAAUUGCAAAUAAACAAGGGCGAUGGAACAUCAUUUGCUGCUACUCUAGCUGCAUUUUAGAUCAUUUCUUCCCAUUGAGAUGUACUGUGACUUUUCUGUAUCAAUCUUGUCAUAUAAUGUUUCCGCUGGGUCGAAUGUGAACUUGGGAAAAUGACGUAGAAUUGGGAAUGGUAAGUCGUCCAAAAUGUAGGGCACGUUAAGCACU